This 988-nucleotide long non-coding RNA is filed under the name Homo sapiens (human). RNAcentral's name for it is "non-protein coding lnc-PON3-1:1". Lineage: Eukaryota; Metazoa; Chordata; Mammalia; Primates; Hominidae. The record is from RNAcentral.
GGAGCAGGCUUCUACCCAUUUUGUGAAGGUAUCUACACAGACCAAGAGGUACUUUUACCUGAAGCCUGCAGGGAGAUGAGUGAAGUCCAUUUGCCAGUCCUCCCCAGGGUAUGUACUUCUCCUCUGGAUUGGACUUAUUAAUGGAGGGGGCUUCCCUCUCUGGGAAUUAUUUAUGGUACAUAGGGUAUAGGCUUGACAAACCUGUUGAAUGGUUUUGUUUAGUCCCUUCCCACUGAACACUUAUUUACAAAUUUGUCCUAGACUGUCCUUUGCAAGGUGGAAGAAGUUGUAAAAACUCUUAAUGACUUUCCAUUGGGAGGUUCCAUUUUUGGACCCAUCUUUUCUAAUAUCACUUUAAUGGGAAUAGCCCCUAUUUGCAUUAUGGCUGAGAAGAAAAAUGGAAUAGAUAUAGGGGCUCUUCCCAGUACGGUUUGCAGUGUGACUCUCACUGUAGACCCUAACCAACAAACUUACCAAACAUACACCCACAACCAAUUCUGCCAUCAACCAAGAUUCCCCACACUUUUCUCCAUCUACCUGCCAAUUUCUUCAUCUCUCCUCCAAUUUCUCCAUCUACCUCCCAAUGGAAAGCUUUUCCCUGGGAGGCUUUCCAUUGGGAGGUAGAUGGAAAAAUUCUUCCAAUCUGUACCAUCCACUGGUUUCUUCUUUAUACCCAUGUUGGCUGGACCAAUCUAUUUCUUCCUUAGUGUAUUGGAGAAAGGGCAGUUCACUGGGGAGAGAGAGGAACAAGUCUCCCAUGAAGGUAUCAUUUGACAUGGCUGCCUCUUCAGCAUUUUUGUCAGCUAACCUGUUUCCCCAUGUAGUUUAAUAGAAGCCCCUGUGGUGUCCUUCACAAUGCUCUACUGCCACUUCCUGGGGCAAAUGAGCAGCCUCCAGUAGCUCUAAGACUUGAGACCCAUACUUAAUAGGAGCAUCCUGAGCUGUUAGGUACCUUCUUUCCUUCCAGAUAGCCAUGUGGGCAUGAAGC